AAGUCGUAACAAGGUUUUGUGAAGCAACAGAGCUCCUUCUGUAGCGGAGCUGAACGGAGACCUUGCAACCGAGAGGGGGGAGGCGACUGAUAAAAGAAACUCCCAGCGCAAGUCAGCCUAGCUGGCAACACAACCGAACUGCGGGGACGCUGUAAAGCUGGACGGUACCAACCACGGCGCGCCGUGGGGCGGGCUCUCGUGCCCGAGGUCAGAACCCGUCCAGAUGCCACAGUCAGCAAUCCGCAGCGGUGCUUCGGCGCCGUCCACAGACC
RNAcentral lists this unclassified non-coding RNA (272 nucleotides) under Vibrisseaceae sp. Its description in RNAcentral is "partial contains internal transcribed spacer 1". The record is from RNAcentral. Lineage: Eukaryota; Fungi; Ascomycota; Leotiomycetes; Helotiales; Vibrisseaceae.